RNAcentral lists this ribosomal RNA (253 nucleotides) under uncultured bacterium. RNAcentral's name for it is "partial 16S ribosomal RNA". It matches the Rfam family "Bacterial small subunit ribosomal RNA", at positions 524 to 776 of the family's 1533-position model. The record is from RNAcentral.
UACGAGUGCCUCAAGCGUUAUCCGGAAUCAUUGGGCGUAAAGGUUGUGUAGGUGGUUGUGUUAGUCUUUUGUUAAAUUCUUCGGCUUAACCGGGGGUCUGCAUUAGAAACGGCACAACUAGAGGAUGCGAGGGGUCUGUGGAACUCAUAGUGUAGCGGUGAAAUGCGUUGAUAUUAUGGGGAACACCAAAAGCGAAGGCAGCAGACUGGAGCACUCCUGACACUGAAACAAGAAAGCGUGGGUCGCGAAUGGG